Syzygium oleosum is the source of this 1148-nucleotide long non-coding RNA. RefSeq lists it as uncharacterized. The transcript is spliced from 2 exons. The record is from RefSeq and is a predicted model, not a curated record. Lineage: Eukaryota; Viridiplantae; Streptophyta; Magnoliopsida; Myrtales; Myrtaceae.
GAUUAGACUUUAAAAAAGGUGUUCACGGGUCGUGCCUACCUGGGUCCUCGAGGAAAGCGACCUAAAGUUAGAUUAAUCGAAAUAAUUCAUCACGUAGGACCACCAUUAUUGGAGAUGUAUUCAAUUAUUGCAUAUAAAGUUGAUUGAAAUCGGGUGGGCGCGCGGUGUCCAAGAACGUAAUUGCUCGCCCGGACUCACUCAUUUCGUCCUUCGAGCCCGAACCCGGACGGGAUCGGUAUGCCGCCGGGCAGAUACCUUCUAAUGCGACUGGUGAAGGAUUCAAGAUGGCCUUCUGGCUUUGUCAGUGAUGUGAAGGAGAAUGGUCGUUGCUCAAGUGUUCGGGAUCUGUGUGAGAAGUGAGAAAUCGUGACACUUGAAGAUGCUAUCGUACGUACACUCUAAUCGAAUGCGUUGACCUUAGAAGACGUAUGCGGGAUGCAUACAUUAAACCGAUAAGUCCAAUUACAAUUGCAGUUUGCGGUUACUAAAAUCCUCAACAAAUACAGAUCUACGUGCAAAUUCUUACAGUUGACAGUUUGGGGACCACCAGGUUGGAACAGAAGGAAGCGGACACUAGCAGACGCAAUUUGGAACGUUCAUCAACAGUGAGGGUAGUUCCUGUUGAAAAUGUCACAACGUGGUUUCCGGUUCGGCAGUGGAACACAGCGCGUGUACCGUUGCUGGCCGCCGCCUCUGCCACAUCUGGCGGGGCCUUGGACUAGAGUCGUGUGGAGGUCGAAACCGUUCGAGCCCGCGACGAGCUCCAACUCCGGUUGCUGGUAAGCGAUGAGGCACUCGGCUGCGCCGCUGAUGCCAUUGCACGGCGGGGGAGUGGCGGUGGCGUUGAGGUCUCCAGGUGCGGCUUCGCAGGAGAGGCCAACUGUCAACAGAUACGAAAGGAAGAGAGCUUUUUUCUUCAAAUUGAGUUGCAUGGUGGUGACUUUGGCCCGUCCUUUUCAGUGUUCCCUAAGGACUGGAAGAGCUCUCAAAGAUGAUGAGCCUCUGUUUGUGCCUGUGUUCGUGCGUGUGUGGAUAUAAAUAGAGGACGGUGAGGGAAAAUGAGAUCAAGGAAAAAUGACAUAAAUAAUUGUUAAACUUUGGUCCAAUAUGCAAUAUUAUCCUGAACUUUAGUCCAGUGUUCAUUGGCA